GACGAACGCUGGCGGCGUGCUUAACACAUGCAAGUCGAACGAAGAGCGAUGGAAGCUUGCUUCUAUCAAUCUUAGUGGCGAACGGGUGAGUAACGCGUAAUCAACCUGCCCUUCAGAGGGGGACAACAGUUGGAAACGACUGCUAAUACCGCAUACGAUUUAAUCUCGGCAUCGAGGAUAGAUGAAAGGUGGCCUCUACAUGUAAGCUAUCACUGAAGGAGGGGAUUGCGUCUGAUUAGCUAGUUGGAGGGGUAACGGCCCACCAAGGCGAUGAUCAGUAGCCGGUCUGAGAGGAUGAACGGCCACAUUGGGACUGAGACACGGCCCAGACUCCUACGGGAGGCAGCAGUGGGGAAUCUUCCGCAAUGGACGAAAGUCUGACGGAGCAACGCCGCGUGAGUGAUGACGGCCUUCGGGUUGUAAAGCUCUGUUAAUCGGGACGAAAGGCCUUCUUGCGAAUAGUGAGAAGGAUUG
This 474-nucleotide ribosomal RNA is filed under the name Veillonella parvula. RNAcentral describes it as "bacterial SSU rRNA". It matches the Rfam family "Bacterial small subunit ribosomal RNA", at positions 28 to 471 of the family's 1533-position model. The record is from RNAcentral. Lineage: Bacteria; Bacillati; Bacillota; Negativicutes; Veillonellales; Veillonellaceae.